CAGCCCUAAACGAUGCGCGUUAGGUGUAUCGGUGACCACGAGUCACCGAGGUGCCGAAGGGAAACCGUGAAACGUGCCGCCUGGGAAGUACGGUCGCAAGGCUGAAACUUAAAGGAAUUGGCGGGGGAGCACAACAACGGGUGGAGCUUGCGGUUUAAUUUGGAUUCAACGCCGGAAAUCUUACCGGGACCGGACAGCAACGUGAAGGCCAAGCUGAAGACUUUGCCGGAUUAGCUGAGAGGUGGUGCAUGGCGUCAGUGACU
Molecule: ribosomal RNA, 263 nt
Filed under: uncultured archaeon
Lineage: Archaea
Description: partial 16S ribosomal RNA
Rfam family: Archaeal small subunit ribosomal RNA
Source: RNAcentral